Long non-coding RNA from Momordica charantia (bitter melon), 298 nucleotides. RefSeq lists it as uncharacterized. The record is from RefSeq and is a predicted model, not a curated record. NCBI's taxonomy places the organism in Eukaryota, Viridiplantae, Streptophyta, Magnoliopsida, Cucurbitales, Cucurbitaceae.
UUCCGACUGUACAAUGGAACUGAUCGGAUUCCAGAUCGGAGCUCCGUCACCGGCAGACAUGUUUGGCCGGCAAAGUCAUCUUUUCCAGAGGUAUCCACUCGUCUUCAAUCGCACUCGUCUUUCUCGUCUCAGUGUCUUUUCGGACUCCGACGAUUCCAACCUGAAAUCGAUGAUCCUGCAAAUUAGAAUGGCAACAGGAAAUGAAAAUAGCUCACUUUCUGCAUCAAUAAUUCUACAUCACAUCCACCGUGGAAAGCAAUUCAGAAGAUGAGGUGAUUAUCAAAGUUUGAAUCUUUCA